UGCUCAGGACGAACGCUGGCGGCGUGCCUAAUACAUGCAAGUCGAGCGGACAGAAGGGAGCUUGCUCCCGGAUGUUAGCGGCGGACGGGUGAGUAACACGUGGGUAACCUGCCUGUAAGACUGGGAUAACUCCGGGAAACCGGAGCUAAUACCGGAUAGUUCCUUGAACCGCAUGGUUCAAGGAUGAAAGACGGUUUCGGCUGUCACUUACAGAUGGACCCGCGGCGCAUUAGCUAGUUGGUGGGGUAAUGGCUCACCAAGGCGACGAUGCGUAGCCGACCUGAGAGGGUGAUCGGCCACACUGGGACUGAGACACGGCCCAGACUCCUACGGGAGGCAGCAGUAGGGAAUCUUCCGCAAUGGACGAAAGUCUGACGGAGCAACGCCGCGUGAGUGAUGAAGGUUUUCGGAUCGUAAAGCUCUGUUGUUAGGGAAGAACAAGUGCGAGAGUAACUGCUCGCACCUUGACGGUACCUAACCAGAAAGCCACGGCUAACUACGUGCCAGCAGCCGCGGUAAUACGUAGGUGGCAAGCGUUGUCCGGAAUUAUUGGGCGUAAAGGGCUCGCAGGCGGUUUCUUAAGUCUGAUGUGAAAGCCCCCGGCUCAACCGGGGAGGGUCAUUGGAAACUGGGAAACUUGAGUGCAGAAGAGGAGAGUGGAAUUCCACGUGUAGCGGUGAAAUGCGUAGAGAUGUGGAGGAACACCAGUGGCGAAGGCGACUCUCUGGUCUGUAACUGACGCUGAGGAGCGAAAGCGUGGGGAGCGAACAGGAUUAGAUACCCUGGUAGUCCACGCCGUAAACGAUGAGUGCUAAGUGUUAGGGGGUUUCCGCCCCUUAGUGCUGCAGCUAACGCAUUAAGCACUCCGCCUGGGAGUACCCC
This 882-nucleotide ribosomal RNA is filed under the name Bacillus safensis. Its description in RNAcentral is "bacterial SSU rRNA". It matches the Rfam family "Bacterial small subunit ribosomal RNA", at positions 21 to 886 of the family's 1533-position model. The record is from RNAcentral. Lineage: Bacteria; Bacillati; Bacillota; Bacilli; Caryophanales; Bacillaceae.